Molecule: unclassified non-coding RNA, 525 nt
Filed under: uncultured Pestalotiopsis
Lineage: Eukaryota; Fungi; Ascomycota; Sordariomycetes; Amphisphaeriales; Amphisphaeriaceae
Description: sequence contains ITS1, 5.8S rRNA gene, ITS2
Source: RNAcentral
UUAAGUUCAGCGGGUAUUCCUACCUGAUCCGAGGUCAACCACAAAAAAUUGGGGGUUUAGCGGCUGGGAGUUAUAGCACCUAACAAAAGCGAGAAAAAAAUUACUACGCUCAGAGGAUACUACAAAUCCGCCGUUGUAUUUCAGGAACUACAACUAUAAAGAAGUAGAUUCCCAACACUAAGCUAGGCUUAAGGGUUGAAAUGACGCUCGAACAGGCAUGCCCACUAGAAUACUAAUGGGCGCAAUGUGCGUUCAAAGAUUCGAUGAUUCACUGAAUUCUGCAAUUCACAUUACUUAUCGCAUUUCGCUGCGUUCUUCAUCGAUGCCAGAACCAAGAGAUCCGUUGUUGAAAGUUUUAACUAUUAUAUAGUACUCGGACAGCAAUGAUUCAAGAGUUUAGAUCCUCUGGCGAAGUCGCGCACCGGAUACCGCGGCCUCCGGCAACUCCAACGCCAAAGCAACAAAGUUAGGUAUUCAAAGGGUUGAGAAUAGGGCCGCGAAGCCCGGUAUUCUUUAAUGAUCCUU